AUUGAACGCUGGCGGCAGGCCUAACACAUGCAAGUCGAGCGGAUGAAGGGAGCUUGCUCCUGGAUUCAGCGGCGGACGGGUGAGUAAUGCCUAGGAAUCUGCCUGGUAGUGGGGGAUAACGUCCGGAAACGGGCGCUAAUACCGCAUACGUCCUGAGGGAGAAAGUGGGGGAUCUUCGGACCUCGCGCUAUCAGAUGAGCCUAGGUCGGAUUAGCUAGUUGGUGGGGUAAAGGCCUACCAAGGCGACGAUCCGUAACUGGUCUGAGAGGAUGAUCAGUCAGAUGGGGACUGAGACACGGAGCAGAGGCGUAUGGGAGGAAGCAGUCGGGAAUCUUAACCAAGCGGGGAGAGCGUGAGGAAGCGAUGACGCGUGCGGGAUGAAGGUCUUGGGGUUGUAAAACGCUUUGAGCAGGUACGAGGCGAAAGUGACGGAACCUGCAGAAGAAGCACCGGCUAACUACGUG
Molecule: ribosomal RNA, 464 nt
Filed under: uncultured bacterium
Lineage: Bacteria
Description: partial 16S ribosomal RNA
Rfam family: Bacterial small subunit ribosomal RNA
Source: RNAcentral